This 141-nucleotide non-coding RNA is filed under the name human gut metagenome. RNAcentral describes it as "RT-14 RNA". It matches the Rfam family "RT-14 RNA". Rfam says of the family: Cloacimonetes, Firmicutes, Proteobacteria. Nearby to self-splicing intron genes The record is from RNAcentral.
CUCUAAUAUUUAUUCGAGAUUAUAUAUUUUAAGGAAUAUAUACAGUGGAGUAUUAGAUAUUAAAGAGAUUUAUUCCUUCCUAAUUUAGGUAAAUAUGAAUCAUUAAAAUAUGUGUUAGUAGUUUAUAAUGAAUAUACGUAU